Molecule: ribosomal RNA, 265 nt
Filed under: uncultured bacterium
Lineage: Bacteria
Description: partial 16S ribosomal RNA
Rfam family: Bacterial small subunit ribosomal RNA
Source: RNAcentral
GACGAACGCUGGCGGCGUGCUUAACACAUGCAAGUCGAGCGGUAAGGCCCUUUCGGGGGUACGACGAGCGGCGAACGGGUGAGUAACACGUGGGUGACCUGCCCUCAGCUCUGGGAUAAGCCUGGGAAACCGGGUCUAAUACUGGAUAUGACUCCAUGACGCAUGUUGUGGGGUGGAAAGCCUUGUGCGGCUGAGGAUGGGCCCGCGGCCUAUCAGCUUGUUGGUGGGGUGANGGCCUACCAAGGCGACGACGGGUAGCCGGCCU